UACAGAGGUCUCAAGCGUUGUUCGGAUUCACUGGGCGUAAAGGGUGCGCAGGCGGCCAAGUGUGUGAGGCGUGAAAGCCCGGAGCUUAACUUCGGAAUUGCACCUCAAACUACAUGGCUAGAGCAUUGGAGAGGGUAGCGGAAUUCACGGUGUAGCAGUGAAAUGCGUAGAUAUCGUGAGGAACACCAGAGGCGAAGGCGGCUACCUGGACAAUUGCUGACGCUCAGGCACGAAAGCGUGGGGAGCAAAAGGG
Molecule: ribosomal RNA, 253 nt
Filed under: uncultured bacterium
Lineage: Bacteria
Description: partial 16S ribosomal RNA
Rfam family: Bacterial small subunit ribosomal RNA
Source: RNAcentral